This 470-nucleotide ribosomal RNA is filed under the name uncultured bacterium. RNAcentral describes it as "bacterial SSU rRNA". It matches the Rfam family "Bacterial small subunit ribosomal RNA", at positions 28 to 381 of the family's 1533-position model. The record is from RNAcentral.
GAUGAACGCUAGCGGCGUGCUUAACACAUGCAAGUCGAGCGGGCAAUUUAUCUAGCACUGAUUACUUCAAAUGGAAAUCAUAAGUGUAAUCAUGAAUUUCUACCUUUAAUAAAGAAAAAGAAAUUCAUGUACGCAAAUAGUGAUAACACAUUUUAGUGGAGUGAUGAGUGCUGGAUAAAUUGCUAGCGGCGGACGGGUGCGUAACACGUGGGUAACCUGCCCCUAUCACUGGGAUAACACACUGAAAAGUGUGCUAAUACCAGAUAAUAUAAGCUUUUGGCAUCAUUAGCUUAUCAAAGAAUUUCGGAUAGGGAUGGGCCCGCGUCUGAUUAGCUAGUUGGUGAGGUAACGGCUCACCAAGGCAACGAUCAGUAGCCGACCUGAGAGGGUGAUCGGCCACACUGGAACUGAGACACGGUCCAGACUCCUACGGGAGGCAGCAGUGGGGAAUAUUGCACAAUGGGCGAAAG